Molecule: regulatory RNA element, 76 nt
Rfam family: c-di-GMP-I riboswitch aptamer
About the family: GEMM was predicted in a large-scale screen for bacterial structured RNA regulatory elements. Genes associated with GEMM are involved in a diverse array of functions, including chemotaxis regulation, signal transduction, secretion and chitin.
Source: Rfam
AUGUAACAAAGGCAAAACUACUGAAAGGUAGUGACGCAAAACUAAAGGGCCUUUUAAAUGGUAGCCAGUUGUCAUU